RNAcentral lists this ribosomal RNA (226 nucleotides) under uncultured bacterium. RNAcentral's name for it is "partial 16S ribosomal RNA". It matches the Rfam family "Bacterial small subunit ribosomal RNA", at positions 538 to 763 of the family's 1533-position model. The record is from RNAcentral.
GCGUUGUCCGGAAUUAUUGGGCGUAAAGAGCUCGUAGGCGGCUUGUCACGUCGGAUGUGAAAUCCCGAGGCUCAACCUCGGGCCUGCAUUCGAUACGGGCUAGCUAGAGUACUGCAGGGGAGACUGGAAUUCCUGGUGUAGCGGUGAAAUGCGCAGAUAUCAGGAGGAACACCGGUGGCGAAGGCGGGUCUCUGGGCAGUAACUGACGCUGAGGAGCGAAAGCGUG